GCCUCUGUAGCUCAGCGGUAGAGCAUCCGCCUUGUAAGCGGAAGGUCAUGGGUUCGAGACCCAUCGGAGGCU
RNAcentral lists this transfer RNA (72 nucleotides) under Propionibacteriaceae bacterium. RNAcentral describes it as "tRNA-Thr". It matches the Rfam family "tRNA". Rfam says of the family: Transfer RNA (tRNA) molecules are approximately 80 nucleotides in length. Their secondary structure includes four short double-helical elements and three loops (D, anti-codon, and T loops). Lineage: Bacteria; Bacillati; Actinomycetota; Actinomycetes; Propionibacteriales; Propionibacteriaceae. The record is from RNAcentral.